UAAAUUUACUCACUGUUGCUUCUUAUGAUUAAACUAGCUCUGAAUGUUGUUGGUUGGGUCUUUUGUCUUCCUGGUUCACUAAUAGCCUUUUAAUGCUACAUUCUUCACCUUCCCCUGUAAUUGUUUUGUGUACCAAAGGCUCUUAAAGACUCUGACCAAGUAGCACAGAGUGAUGGGGAGGAGAGCCCUGCUGCUGAAGAGCAGCUCUUGGGAGAGCACAUUAAAGAGGAAAAAGAAGAAUCUGAAUUUCUACCCUCAUCUGGAGGAACAUUUAAUAUCUCUGUCAGUGGGGACAUUGAUGGUUUAAUUACUCAGGCUUUGCUGACGGGCAAUUUUGAGAGUGCUGUUGACCUUUGUUUACAUGAUAACCGCAUGGCUGAUGCCAUUAUAUUGGCCAUAGCAGGUGGACAAGAACUCUUGGCUCGAACCCAGAAAAAAUACUUUGCAAAAUCCCAAAGCAAAAUUACCAGGCUCAUCACUGCAGUGGUGAUGAAGAACUGGAAAGAGAUUGUUGAGUCUUGUGAUCUUAAAAAUUGGAGAGAGGCUUUAGC
This 551-nucleotide small RNA is filed under the name Pongo abelii (Sumatran orangutan). Its description in RNAcentral is "retained intron". The record is from RNAcentral. Lineage: Eukaryota; Metazoa; Chordata; Mammalia; Primates; Hominidae.